GCUCCAUUCCUGAUGCGUAGGAUCAUCUCCCUAUCCCUCAGCCUCCUGCUCUCCUCAAGACCCUGCAUAGAAGUGCACAAAUGAGCACUAGAACCAGAGUCAAGCACCUAACUGGAUGCAGAAGAAACCGUAAGGUUAGAUUCUAAAAUGAGCAUACCUCUUGAAGGAUCAUCCUUCUUGUUCUUUAAGGUGGCCAGGUACUGAGGACAGUUUCACUUCCAAUGACCGUCUGAUUGGCAGUAGAAAUAUUUUUCCUUAUCAGCAGCCUUCUUCUUCAGUUCUGUCUUCUUCUUCUUGCCAUCCACC
This 306-nucleotide long non-coding RNA is filed under the name Elaeis guineensis (African oil palm). RNAcentral's name for it is "long non-coding RNA (EGUI_LNC045627)". The record is from RNAcentral. Lineage: Eukaryota; Viridiplantae; Streptophyta; Magnoliopsida; Arecales; Arecaceae.